This 337-nucleotide unclassified non-coding RNA is filed under the name soil metagenome. RNAcentral describes it as "partial contains 5.8S ribosomal RNA, internal transcribed spacer 2, and large subunit ribosomal RNA". The stretch from base 1 to 120 matches the Rfam family "5.8S ribosomal RNA", at positions 35 to 154 of the family's 154-position model. The record is from RNAcentral.
GAUGAAGAACGUAGCAAAAUGCGAUAAGUAGUGUGAAUUGCAGAAUUCAGUGAAUCAUCGAAUCUUUGAACGCACAUUGCGCCCCAUGGUAUUCCGUGGGGCAUGCCUGUUCGAGCGUCAUUUACCCCCUCAAGCUCCGCUUGGUGUUGGGCGUCUGUCCCGCUUCGCGCGCGGACUCGCCCCAAAGGUAUUGGCAGCGGUCGUGCCAGCUUCUCGCGCAGCACAUUGCGCUUCUCGAGGCACCGGUGGGCCCGCGUCCAUCAAGCUCACCCCCCCAGUUUGACCUCGGAUCAGGUAGGGAUACCCGCUGAACUUAAGCAUAUCAAUAAGCGGAGGA